GAUAAACGCUGGCGGCGUGCCUAAUACAUGCAAGUCGAGCGAACGGACGAGAAGCUUGCUUCUCUGAUGUUAGCGGCGGACGGGUGAGUAACACGUGGAUAACCUACCUAUAAGACUGGGAUAACUUCGGGAAACCGGAGCUAAUACCGGAUAAUAUUUUGAACCGCAUGGUUCAAAAGUGAAAGACGGUCUUGCUGUCACUUAUAGAUGGAUCCGCGCUGCAUUAGCUAGUUGGUAAGGUAACGGCUUACCAAGGCAACGAUGCAUAGCCGACCUGAGAGGGUGAUCGGCCACACUGGAACUGAGACACGGUCCAGACUCCUACGGGAGGCAGCAGUAGGGAAUCUUCCGCAAUGGGCGAAAGCCUGACGGAGCAACGCCGCGUGAGUGAUGAAGGUCUUCGGAUCGUAAAACUCUGUUAUUAGGGAAGAACAUAUGUGUAAGUAACUGUGCACAUCUUGACGGUACCUAAUCAGAAAGCCACGGCUAACUACGUGCCAGCAGCCGCGGUAAUACGUAGGUGGCAAGCGUUAUCCGGAAUUAUUGGGCGUAAAGCGCGCGUAGGCGGUUUUUUAAGUCUGAUGUGAAAGCCCACGGCUCAACCGUGGAGGGUCAUUGGAAACUGGAAAACUUGAGUGCAGAAGAGGAAAGUGGAAUUCCAUGUGUAGCGGUGAAAUGCGCAGAGAUAUGGAGGAACACCAGUGGCGAAGGCGACUUUCUGGUCUGUAACUGACGCUGAUGUGCGAAAGCGUGGGGAUCAAACAGGAUUAGAUACCCUGGUAGUCCACGCCGUAAACGAUGAGUGCUAAGUGUUAGGGGGUUUCCGCCCCUUAGUGCUGCAGCUAACGCAUUAAGCACUCCGCCUGGGGAGUACGACCGCAAGGUUGAAACUCAAAGGAAUUGACGGGGACCCGCACAAGCGGUGGAGCAUGUGGUUUAAUUCGAAGCAACGCGAAGAACCUUACCAAAUCUUGACAUCCUUUGACAACUCUAGAGAUAGAGCCUUCCCCUUCGGGGGACAAAGUGACAGGUGGUGCAUGGUUGUCGUCAGCUCGUGUCGUGAGAUGUUGGGUUAAGUCCCGCAACGAGCGCAACCCUUAAGCUUAGUUGCCAUCAUUAAGUUGGGCACUCUAAGUUGACUGCCGGUGACAAACCGGAGGAAGGUGGGGAUGACGUCAAAUCAUCAUGCCCCUUAUGAUUUGGGCUACACACGUGCUACAAUGGACAAUACAAAGGGCAGCGAAACCGCGAGGUCAAGCAAAUCCCAUAAAGUUGUUCUCAGUUCGGAUUGUAGUCUGCAACUCGACUACAUGAAGCUGGAAUCGCUAGUAAUCGUAAAUCAGCAUGCUACGGUGAAUACGUUCCCGGGUCU
RNAcentral lists this ribosomal RNA (1372 nucleotides) under uncultured bacterium. Its description in RNAcentral is "bacterial SSU rRNA". It matches the Rfam family "Bacterial small subunit ribosomal RNA", at positions 28 to 1381 of the family's 1533-position model. The record is from RNAcentral.